UACGUAGGGUGCGAGCGUUGUCCGGAAUUAUUGGGCGUAAAGAGCUCGUAGGCGGUUUGUCGCGUCGACUGUGAAAACCUGGGGCUUAACUCUGGGCCUGCAGUCGAUACUGCCGUGACUAGAGUUCGGUAGAGGAGUGUGGAAUUCCUGGUGGAGCGGUGAAAUGCGCAGAGAUCAGGAGGAACACCCGUAGCGAAGGCGGCACUCUGGGCCGAUACUGACACUGAGGAGCGAAAGCGUGGGGAGCGAACAGG
This 254-nucleotide ribosomal RNA is filed under the name uncultured bacterium. Its description in RNAcentral is "partial 16S ribosomal RNA". It matches the Rfam family "Bacterial small subunit ribosomal RNA", at positions 524 to 776 of the family's 1533-position model. The record is from RNAcentral.